AACGAACGCUGGCGGCAGGCCUAACACAUGCAAGUCGAGCGAGGACUUCGGUUCUAGCGGCGGACGGGUGAGUAACGCGUGGGAAUGUGCCCUUCUCUACGGAAUAGCCCUGGGAAACUGGGAUUAAUACCGUAUACGCCCUAUUGGGGAAAGAUUUAUCGGGGAAGGAUCAGCCCGCGUUGGAUUAGGUAGUUGGUGGGGUAAUGGCCUACCAAGCCGACGAUCCAUAGCUGGUUUGAGAGGAUGAUCAGCCACACUGGGACUGAGACACGGCCCAGACUCCUACGGGAGGCAGCAGUGGGGAAUCUUAGACAAUGGGGGCAACCCUGAUCUAGCCAUGCCGCGUGAGUGAUGAAGGCCUUAGGGUUGUAAAGCUCUUUCAGCUGGGAAGAUAAUGACGGUACCAGCAGAAGAAGCCCCGGCUAACUCCGUG
RNAcentral lists this ribosomal RNA (433 nucleotides) under uncultured bacterium. RNAcentral describes it as "partial 16S ribosomal RNA". It matches the Rfam family "Bacterial small subunit ribosomal RNA", at positions 29 to 507 of the family's 1533-position model. The record is from RNAcentral.